Moritella viscosa is the source of this 97-nucleotide non-coding RNA. NCBI's taxonomy places the organism in Bacteria, Pseudomonadati, Pseudomonadota, Gammaproteobacteria, Alteromonadales, Moritellaceae. The record is from Rfam.
UAUGGGUCCCUCCGCAUUGAUACUCUGUGAACUCGGCCAGGUCCGGAAGGAAGCAACCGCAGCAGAGAACUCAAGUGCCGGAGUGAGGCUUGUAGGG